ACUCACUUAAUAGGUGCAUGCGAAAGCUUUUGGUUUCCAUUACUUUUUCAUCAUUCAUUUACAUAAAGAAAAAAGGAAGAUUAGCCUACCCACUAUGAGUGAAAACCUUUUCUGCUUCUCUAAUUAAUUGAUCGUUUCGUAUCUCGAAAUUUUGGCUUAAUGUUGCAUAAAGAAACUCAACCAUUCAUAGAGCGUAAUUGGUAUUGGGUAGUGUAAUUAGAAUACACCUUCUGGUUAUAUCCAUCGGGAUUAAUAAGAUCCUUACACAGUAGAUUUUAACUUGUUUUCUUUGUGUUCUACGUUUCUAU
This 308-nucleotide long non-coding RNA is filed under the name Carica papaya (papaya). Its description in RNAcentral is "long non-coding RNA (CPAP_LNC004162)". The record is from RNAcentral. Lineage: Eukaryota; Viridiplantae; Streptophyta; Magnoliopsida; Brassicales; Caricaceae.